UCUGCUAUGACGCAUGGGGUCACCCGAU
This 28-nucleotide small RNA is filed under the name Bombyx mori (domestic silkworm). RNAcentral describes it as "ovarian small RNA-29993". The record is from RNAcentral. Lineage: Eukaryota; Metazoa; Arthropoda; Insecta; Lepidoptera; Bombycidae.